Molecule: long non-coding RNA, 2374 nt
Organism: Solanum pennellii
Lineage: Eukaryota; Viridiplantae; Streptophyta; Magnoliopsida; Solanales; Solanaceae
Exons: 2
Source: RefSeq, a predicted model, not a curated record
UUUGCAAGCCCUUUCCUCCCUCAACCCCUCCAUGCAAUGCGCUUAUCACUUAUGGCUUCAUGUUUGGUCCAGUAAAACGAAAACACUGCCUAAUAUUUUCUUCUUUUUUUCUCUCUCUGAAAUGGUAAGGAAAUCUUAUACAUAAAUUAAACCAGCAAGAAGAUUGUUCUAUAGCCACUGUACAAUAUCAGCAAAUUAGCAAAAACACAAAACAAAGUACCACCACUGAUCCUGUAAAGACUCUAGCACCUGUAAAACUAUUUCAGCUUCAUUUAUGUAUUCCAUUCUACAGAAACAGCAUACCAAAAAUAUACCAACUGACCUUUAUCUGCUGAAUGGAGUUAAUGGUCUUCAAAACAUAUUUUGUUUCUCUCGGUCCAAAUAGUCCAUGAUAUGCAUGCUGGUCUUGUAGUCCACCAUAAUAGUUUUUUCUUCCUGACUCACUUUCUGUACGGCACCUCAGCAGAUCUCCUGUUGACCUGGGCAUAACCGACUGCAAAGCAAUCAUAUUUUUGAGGAGUUGCCACAGUUGGGUGGUAACUUGGCAGUGUAAAAAUAAGUGAUAUCACUGUUUCUCUUCCAUGGAGAACAUUUGCUAGUUAAAAUAAUACUUCUCUGUGGAGAUUCUCAUGUGUAAGAUGAGCUUCAUGAAACGCUACCCAUGUGAAGCAAGCAACCUUGAGUGGAGCUCUGGACCUCCAAAUUUGUUUCCAUGGCCAAGGCUUUUCAGGACUAUCCACCUUUAUUAGAUCUUUGUAGCACGAACUUACUGAAACAACUCCAUUGCUCCUUGGCUUUCCAUAGAAGGCUAUCAUCAGUGUUGGAUAGCUGCUGAUUUGUAUUCGAAAGGUUACAAAUUUAACACUUGCCAAACAUUGAAAUUAUAACUACUAUAUGUAAUUUGAACCAGCCAAAAUGAGAUCUUCUCUCCAUUGCCAACUUUGAAAUCCAAUUUUAAAUAUGAAAUUACGCCACAUAAAACUAAUACUUUACCAAACAGAAACUCUGUGAGGUGUUGUUAACAUAUUUGGCACUCCAUCCUUGCUUUUGCUCUUCUGAUAACAAACCCCCCACCCCCCCACCCCCACCCCUCAAACAUAAUUCUGCUAGACCUCCAGAGCCACUUCAUUAGUAACCUUUUGUGUGUAAUUGUAGGUUUUUAAAAACCCCAAUACCGUCUUUCUUGUUGUUAAUAACAGUACUGCAAAAGCGCCUCCUAUCUCUAUUUCCUUGCCAUAUAAAGUUCCUUAAUGGAAAUGCUCCCAGAUGCUUCUGCCAAGAACCUUAUCUCUUCUCUUCGUAUGGCAGAUCACCUUUUCUGAUUAUUUUUUUCUCAGCUCUAUACAUGGGGGAGAUAGGAUUUGUUACCAUGCUGUAUAUAAAUCUUAUGACAUCUUUAAGUCAAACGCAAGGCCAGCAACCUGGUUUGAAUGGACUGGAGCUGAGCGCAGCAGGAAUUUAUUAGGAAAGCAACUAUUAUGUCUUAAAGUACUGAGAUGGAUAGUUCAUGUAUUUAAUGCAGCAUCGAAGGAGAAAUGAAUGUCAUUCAGGAGAUGGAAAACAAGUGACGAUUUUGCUGAUUUUUUUUUGGUAGUCUUAAACACAGUAAAAAUGUUAGGUAUAUCAGUUUUAAUGCAGUACAAAGAAAGAGGGGGUGGGGGGGAUGAGUGAAACUCUUGAGAUUACAUUAAAUGCUGGAUGGACAGAACAGAAAAUUUAAGUUCAUUUUGGUCCCAGAAAGGGGUGAGAAAGCAGCAGCUAUCAGGCAGCAUCAUACCAAAUCUUAUUUUGCUGAAGCCAUCAGAAGCAAGAAUUGGACAACAGAAGCUACAAAAGGGUAAACAUACCAGACCACCAACACCAGAAUCGUCAUCCCUGUUAGCUCUGUAGUAUCAGAAGACAACGUGCUCGGCAGAUGCAUUGUGGGGAAAUUAUUGUCCACAAGCCAAGAAACUCCAACUCUGAAUGACAUCCGGAGCUGGGUGUGCAGAAUGUGGAAUGUCUCUCAUUUAAUCAAUGUAUACCUAAUGAAUGAUUCACAAUUUCUUUUUGAGGUUCCAUCCAGAAAGGUGGCAGAGCAUGUUUUCGAAGGAGAAUGGAGAUGGAAGAAGUCCAGUUGACUUCUCGGCUUUUUAGCUACAAUCUAGUGAUAUUUUUCAUCUAAGACUUGAGGUGCUUGUUUGUGGGGUUAGUAUUGUGAUGAGUCUGGUAUAAAAUGCCACAAACUUUAGGUGCUACCUUUGUCUUACCCUAAAUACAUGCCAGAGCUCACAAUUUUUAACAAAGAAAGCUCUCUGUAAAUAUCACAACAUCUUCUGGCUGCUGGUUUUUAGUAUUUCGACAUGAAUUUCACUAGGAGAAAAAGUUGAAGUGG